RNAcentral lists this long non-coding RNA (466 nucleotides) under Nicotiana benthamiana. RNAcentral describes it as "long non-coding RNA (NBEN_LNC032160)". Lineage: Eukaryota; Viridiplantae; Streptophyta; Magnoliopsida; Solanales; Solanaceae. The record is from RNAcentral.
GGGAGCAGUAUGUCCAACACGAUUGCAAUAAUGGCAUACAACGUUUGGGUUGUGCCUAUGCCAAGGUUGAGCCAAAUAUGUUCUAGGUGUUCUAUAGUCGUUCCUAGAAGCGUUGAAAUCCCUAGCGUUUGAUCUAGGUGGUCUAGUGUAGUUUAUCCUAGACUUGUUCAUAAAAAUCCUAGAAUCAUUUCUAGGCGAUCUAAACUGAUUAACUCUAGACUUGUUUAAGAACCUAGCAUCGUUUCUAGGUUGUCUAGUCUCUUCCCAGACUUGUUCACAAAAAUCCUAGAAUUGUUUCUAGGCGAUCUAAAGUGAUUAACUCUAGACUCAUUAUUCCAAUUCCUAGAAUUGUAUCUAGGCGGUCUAAAAUUAUUAUCCUAGACUUGUUAAAGAACCUAGCAUCGUUUCUAGGUUGUCUAGUCUCGAUCCUAGAAUGCUGUCUAAAAUUACUGUUAUUAGGCUUGUU